RNAcentral lists this ribosomal RNA (497 nucleotides) under uncultured bacterium. RNAcentral's name for it is "partial 16S ribosomal RNA". It matches the Rfam family "Bacterial small subunit ribosomal RNA", at positions 28 to 507 of the family's 1533-position model. The record is from RNAcentral.
GAUGAACGCUGGCGGCGUGCCUAAUACAUGCAAGUCGAGCGAACAGACGAGGAGCUUGCUCCUCUGACGUUAGCGGCGGACGGGUGAGUAACACGUGGAUAACCUACCUAUAAUACUUGGAUAACUUCGUGAAACCGGAGCUAAUACCGGAUAAUAUAUUGAACCGCAUGGUUCAAUAGUGAAAGACGGUUUUGCUGUCACUUAUAGAUGGAUCCGCGCCGCAUUAGCUAGUUGGUAAGGUAACGGCUUACCAAGGCAACGACGCGUAGCCGACCUGAGAGGGUGAUCGGCCACACUGGAACUGAGACACGGUCCAGACUCCUACGGGAGGCAGCAGUAGGGAAUCUUCCGCAAUGGGCGCAAGCCUGACGGAGCAAUGCCGCGUGAGUGAUGAAGGUCUUCGGAUCGUAAAACUCUGUUAUUAGGGAAGAACAAAUGUGUAAGUAAAUAUGCACGUCUUGACGGUACCUAAUCAGAAAGCCACGGCUAACUACGUG